RNAcentral lists this ribosomal RNA (292 nucleotides) under uncultured Acidobacteriota bacterium. RNAcentral's name for it is "uncultured Acidobacteria bacterium partial 16S ribosomal RNA". Lineage: Bacteria; Pseudomonadati; Acidobacteriota. The record is from RNAcentral.
GGACUACUGGGGUUUCUAAUCCUGUUUGCUACCCACGCUUUCGUGCCUCAGCGUCAGUUACGGUCCAGAAAGCCGUUUACACCACAGGUGUUCCUCCUGAUAUCUACGCAUUUCACCGCUACACCAGGAAUUCCACUUUCCUCUCCCGCACUCUAGCCUCUCAGUAUCCGGCGCACCCUCCCAGUUGAGCCAGGAGAUUUCACACCAGACUUAAAAAGCCGCCUACGCACCCUUUACGCCCAGUAACUCCGAACAACGCUUGCUGCCUACGUAUUACCGCGGCUGCUGGCAC